Molecule: ribosomal RNA, 642 nt
Filed under: uncultured marine eukaryote
Lineage: Eukaryota
Description: SSU rRNA
Rfam family: Eukaryotic small subunit ribosomal RNA
Source: RNAcentral
UUGUGGUUAAAAAGCUCGUAGUUGGAUCUCGGCGGACUGAGGGCGGUUUGCUUGCUAGUAUUACUGCCCUAUAGUCCGUAGUUUUGCCAGAGGUUUCGGGGUGCUCUUAAUCGAGUGUCCCGGGAUGCUGGCAGGUUUACUUUGAAAAAAUUAGAGUGCUCAAAGCAGGCUAUUACGCCUGAAUAUUCGUGCAUGGAAUAAUAGAAUAGGAAGUCGUUUCUAUUUUGUUGGUUUUCGGAAAUCGACUUAAUGAUUAAUAGGGACAGUCGGGGCAUUUGUAUUCAAACGACAGAGGUGAAAUUCUUGGACCGUUUGAAGACAAACUACUGCGAAAGCAUUUGCCAAGAAUGUUUUCAUUAAUCAAGAACGAAAGUUAAAGGUUCGAAGGCGAUUAGAUACCGCCCUAGUUUUAACCAUAAACGAUGCCAGCUAGCGAUCUGCGGACGUUUUUUUUGUAGACUCCGCAGGAAGCUUCCGGGAAACCAAAGCAUUUGGGUUCCAGGGGAAGUAUGGUUGCAAAGCUGUAACUUAAAGGAAUUGACGGAAGGGCACCACCAGGAGUGGAGCCUGUGGCUUAAUUUGACUCAACACGGGAAAUCUCACCAGGCCCGGACACUGGAAGGAUUGACAGAUUGAUAGCUC